This 449-nucleotide ribosomal RNA is filed under the name uncultured bacterium. RNAcentral's name for it is "bacterial SSU rRNA". It matches the Rfam family "Bacterial small subunit ribosomal RNA", at positions 64 to 507 of the family's 1533-position model. The record is from RNAcentral.
GAACGGCAGCGCGGGAGCAAUCCUGGCGGCGAGUGGCGAACGGGUGAGUAAUAUAUCGGAACGUGCCCAUUAGUGGGGGAUAGCCCGGCGAAAGCCGGAUUAAUACCGCAUACGACCUGAGGGUGAAAGCGGGGGAUCGCAAGACCUCGCGCUAUUGGAGCGGCCGAUAUCAGAUUAGCUAGUUGGUGGGGUAAAAGCCUACCAAGGCAACGAUCUGUAGUUGGUCUGAGAGGACGACCAGCCACACUGGGACUGAGACACGGCCCAGACUCCUACGGGAGGCAGCAGUGGGGAAUUUUGGACAAUGGGCGCAAGCCUGAUCCAGCAAUGCCGCGUGCAGGAAGAAGGCCUUCGGGUUGUAAACUGCUUUUGUCAGGGAAGAAAUCCUUUGGGUUAAUACCUCGAAGGGAUGACGGUACACUGAAGAAUAAGCACCGGCUAACUACGUG